This is a non-coding RNA of Lupinus albus (white lupine), 211 nucleotides long. Lineage: Eukaryota; Viridiplantae; Streptophyta; Magnoliopsida; Fabales; Fabaceae. The record is from the annotation of a GenBank genome assembly.
AAACAAGGGAAAAAUCAUAUCCAAAAAUAUCAUAUCAUUAUAUCUAAAAUAUAAAGUAACAAAACUGAUAGUGUGAUUCCUUAUGAAGAUUCAAUUGUAGUUAAAGGCUCAACAAUGCAAUGGAGAAUAUGCAAUGAAAGGCUCAACAAUGUUCCCCAGUGUGAGUAUCAAAGGAAUAUGAGAGAGAUUCACUGUUAGAAGAGAUAAGGAC